AAAAUUAGAGUGUUCAAAGCAGGCAGACCAUUCUUCUGCCACCGAAUACAUUAGCAUGGGAUAAUGGAAUAGGACCCUGUCCUCCUAUUUUGCGUGUUGGUUUUCGAGGACCGGGUAAUGAUUAAUAG
Molecule: ribosomal RNA, 128 nt
Filed under: Acanthamoeba genotype T15
Lineage: Eukaryota; Discosea; Longamoebia; Acanthamoebidae
Description: partial 18S ribosomal RNA
Source: RNAcentral